AGAAGAUGAGACCUUUGUGUGGAAUCUUUUGUGUACUCCUAAAUUUACUAGAAAUAAAAGGGAAAGAGGGAGGCAACUACCUGACACCUGGAGAUUAUGAAAGUCAUGAAAUUCAGCCAAAAUCUGUUGGCAAUACUUGAACGAAGCCAACACAAUUUACUGAUAUUGUAUUUUCUGCAAUGUCUUCAAGAGCAGAAGAAUGGACUAGGGACUUUAAAAGAGAGAAAAGGUAAAACUUUUGACAUUUUUAGGAAAUAAAAAUUGCAACUUUGUAAUUACCAUAUUUUGAGUCUGCUAUGAAAAAGGUACCAUAAUAACAUAAACCAUAUAAUAACACAAAACUGUUCACACUGGGUCAAAUCAAAGAUUCAUCCAGGUCUGUAACCUGUUAUUAGUUGUGAGAGACAGCAGACACCUGUGUAGGAAUAUGACAAGUCAAUCAUGUAGACAAAUAUACCCAAUAUAUUCCUUGUCUAAAGUUAUCUGGGUUUCUGCAGAUAGAUGUCUUAUAUAAUAUGAAAUAAUACUUCAAAAGGAAAACCACAGAGAAGUGGACAGAGGUGUUAUGUUUGUUUUUGAUAGUUGUUGAUGGGUUUCUGUGUUGACGGAUCCUCCCCCCCGUUUUUUCUAGUUGCUUUUCAAAUACAUUCCCUCAUGUGGGAAGGAGAUCAACA
This 674-nucleotide long non-coding RNA is filed under the name Anas platyrhynchos platyrhynchos (common mallard). RNAcentral's name for it is "lncRNA (ENSAPLG00000020775.1)". The record is from RNAcentral. Lineage: Eukaryota; Metazoa; Chordata; Aves; Anseriformes; Anatidae.